GUGUCAGCCGCCGCGGUAAUACGUAGGGUGCGAGCGUUGUCCGGAAUUAUUGGGCGUAAAGGGCUCGUAGGCGGUUUGUCGCGUCGGGAGUGAAAACGCCGUGCUUAACACGGCGCUUGCUUUCGAUACGGGCAGACUAGAGGUAUUCAGGGGAGAACGGAAUUCCUGGUGUAGCGGUGAAAUGCGCAGAUAUCAGGAGGAACACCGGUGGCGAAGGCGGUUCUCUGGGAAUGACCUGACGCUGAGGAGCGAAAGUGUGGGGAGCGAACAGGAUUAGAUACCCGCGUAGUCC
RNAcentral lists this ribosomal RNA (292 nucleotides) under uncultured bacterium. Its description in RNAcentral is "partial 16S ribosomal RNA". It matches the Rfam family "Bacterial small subunit ribosomal RNA", at positions 505 to 796 of the family's 1533-position model. The record is from RNAcentral.